AAGGAUUUAAGUUAAGUCAAAAACUAUUAACCUUCAAAGUUAAAAAUAAAAGUGCAAAUUUAAGCCUUA
RNAcentral lists this transfer RNA (69 nucleotides) under Pseudoides sp. BMNH 850825. RNAcentral describes it as "tRNA-Trp". It matches the Rfam family "tRNA". From Rfam's summary of the family: Transfer RNA (tRNA) molecules are approximately 80 nucleotides in length. Their secondary structure includes four short double-helical elements and three loops (D, anti-codon, and T loops). Lineage: Eukaryota; Metazoa; Arthropoda; Insecta; Coleoptera; Chrysomelidae. The record is from RNAcentral.